Molecule: ribosomal RNA, 372 nt
Filed under: uncultured eukaryote
Lineage: Eukaryota
Description: SSU rRNA
Rfam family: Eukaryotic small subunit ribosomal RNA
Source: RNAcentral
AGCUCCAAUAGCGUAUAUUAAAGUUGUUGCAGUUAAAAUGCUCGUAGUUGAACUUAUGCAUUGCCUCGCAGGGAAACGCUUGUGCUCACCCCGCCGUUGGCUUGGCUUUGUGGUGUCAUGUGCAGUUCUUCGUUGGACUACGCGUGCGCCCACUUUACUUUGAGAAACUUAGGGUGUUCCAAGCAUGUUGACGCAUGAAUAUUCCAGCAUGGAAUGAAUUGGUACGACUUUGGCUCUGCCGUUUGGUUCGCAGGACUAAAGUAAUGAUUAACAGGGACGGUCGGGGGCAUCGGUAUUUUAACUGUCAGAGGUGAAAUUCUUAGAUUUGUUAAGGACCAGCUACUGCGAAAGCAUUUGCCAAGGACGUUCCCA